ACCCAUCAUCAAUGAUAACGUUGCUUUUUAUUUUGUGUAAAGAAAACAUCAAACAUAUGCAUACGUUUUUGGGGGUUGUUUGAUGGAUCAUUAUUAGUUUAUACAAAUUUCAAAGUUUAGAAAUUUUAUAAAACUAAUAUUUUAUAUUUUUUUUUUUUUGAAUUGUGAUUAUUGAGUUGUGAUUAUUUAAGAUUUCAAUUGACACUCAUCCAAAUUUUGCAGACAAAACAGGUUAUUAUCAUGAUCCCGCUUCCGGAGUCCAUACAUUUCUGCAAAUCAUGUUUCUAACAGGUUAAGCUCAGGAUCCUUUCUAAAGGAAAUAAGUCUUUUUCCAAUUAGUCUUGCCGCUGAAUCAGUUAAGGGUUAAGCAUUCCAAGUGGAAGGAACAGUGAAGAUGAUGUGCUAAUAUCAGUUGAUUCAAAAAGGGGCUCAAAUAAGCUUGGCAUUCUAAUAGGAACGGUCCAGCAAAGGUUCCACUUCAGGUUCAAUUAAACAGUGCAUGUGUUAACAACCAAGGAUGUAAGAUUGUCAAACCAUGGCAUCGGCGAAAAGCAUGGCGAAAAGCGUAAGAGGUUAAUUCAUUGGUGUCAGAGA
Molecule: long non-coding RNA, 594 nt
Organism: Brassica oleracea var. oleracea
Lineage: Eukaryota; Viridiplantae; Streptophyta; Magnoliopsida; Brassicales; Brassicaceae
Exons: 2
Source: RefSeq, a predicted model, not a curated record